RNAcentral lists this ribosomal RNA (507 nucleotides) under uncultured bacterium. RNAcentral describes it as "bacterial SSU rRNA". It matches the Rfam family "Bacterial small subunit ribosomal RNA", at positions 38 to 518 of the family's 1533-position model. The record is from RNAcentral.
GGCGGCGUGCCUAAUACAUGCAGGUCGAACGGUCUUUCUAUGGAAGCUUGCUUCCACUGAGAAGAUAGUGGCGGACGGGUGAGUAACACGUGGGUAACCUGCCCAUAAGAGGGGGAUAACAUCCGGAAACGGGUGCUAAUACCGCAUAGUUUUCUUGAUCGCAUGAUUGAGAAAGGAAAGACGGCCUUUGUGCUGUCGCUUAUGGAUGGACCCGCGGCGUAUUAGUUAGUUGGUGAGGUAAUGGCUCACCAAGACGAUGAUACGUAGCCGACCUGAGAGGGUGAUCGGCCACAUUGGGACUGAGACACGGCCCAAACUCCUACGGGAGGCAGCAGUAGGGAAUCUUCCGCAAUGGACGAAAGUCUGACGGAGCAACGCCGCGUGAGUGAAGAAAGGUUUUCGGAUCGUAAAACUCUGUUGUCAGAGAAGAACAAGUUGGAGAGUAACUGCUCCAGCCUUGACGGUAUCUGACCAGAAAGCCACGGCUAACUACGUGCCAGCCGCCGC